UCCUUGGAGGCAGACUGGUGUAAAGAACCUGGCCGUGGUGUCAGACAGAGAAGAUUUGAAUCCUGUUGUGGUCACUUAUAAGCAGUAUGAUUCCCUGGGUUUUCUUUUGCGUCAAAUGCAAGUGAUAAUUGGAUAUGUUUCAUAAGGCGAUUGUGAAGGCUAGAUAGGAUAAUGGAGAUGCAUCUUUUUGGGAAAACCGUUUUCUGCCCAAAGGAAAUCAGCUUUCCUGUUUUCUGUUGUUAUCAAUAUUGCUGUUUGGGUUCCCUUGAGUGUGGAUUAAAUGGCAGCUGAGAAAUCUUGUUGGGACCACCUCUUCCCAUUGCCUUUCGAAGUGAAGUCUUGACAAGAAAUGAGUUCUUCCCAAAGAUAAGUACAUUGGAGGUUGGGUCUGGUGGUAGCUUCCUAAUGAAUUUGUGGUGCACAGAUCUGUCCUUGAGCUAUUUUCUGUAAUGUUCUCACUGCAGUGUCCCAUGACUGAUCUUAUUUCAGAGAAUUGUAUGAGUUUUGCAGCAAAUUACAAGGAAGGCCUGGUUCCUAAAAUCAGCUGAAGGCCAAUUAAGGUUUCUUGGGGCGCUUUCCUUCAGCUGCAAUGUCAUCAUAAAUGACUCUCCAGUGCAGUGGAAGGCUGACAUUUUGUAAACUAAUACUAUAUUUUGGGAGUGAUUAAAAUCUCCAUCCCAGUCACCUGCCUGACCAACUGCCAGUGGCCACAAAACAAAAGGAUUACAGUCAAUUCAUAUCCAUUAGGAAAAUGACGUGAAACACUAUUGGUUUAGGCUCAGUGGGGCUUAAUCUGAUUUCAGGAAGAAAGGAGAGGUGUGCAAUUAAAGGAGAGAGGAAAGGCAGAAAAGAAAAUCAAAUGAGAAUUUUCCCCCAAAACCCAAGGCCUUUUUGGUUUGUUCAUUUCCAUAAGGAUUUAUUAAGUACCUGUUGAGUUCUUCCCACUAUGGUAGACCCUGAAAGGGAGGAAGGAGAAAACACUAGCAAUGCCUGUCCUCAGAACUUGCAGUGUAGUAGGGGGGAAAUGCUACACACUGAGGAGGUGGCCAGAGAAUUAGCAGAUUCAUGUUAGUAGGAAUUUAAAAAUAUUCUUUAAGUGCCUGGCACAGUUGGAAAAGGAAAAGAAGAUAAGUGAGAAGGGAUAGUUGACAUCUACAUGCUCUUACUGUGUGCUUCACAUUAAGUUUCACACAUAUUAACUCACCUUUACAACAGCCCUACAUACCAUUAUUAUUCCCGCUUUACGGAUGAGGAAACUGAGGCCCACAGAAGUGAAGAAACUUGCCUGAGAUCACACAGUCCGCAAGAGGAAGAGCUGGGGUUUGCAUACAGCUAGUCUGGUCCUAGAAUCUGAGGUUUUACCAUUAUUCUAUGUGGCCUCCCAAGGUGAUGGGGUAUUCCUGGCCCAUGAGGAUUUUCAUUCUCCAUGGGGAGAUGAGGUCUAGGUGUGGGGAUAAUUAAGCUACAGGUAGAGGGUGUAACAGUGGAGGCAGGGAAUAGAGUGAUUGAUGACUUCAGAAAGGUGGGUGUGCUAACUGAACUCUGGACAUGGAUGUGUAUAUGUUGGGGGAAGCUCUGCACAGAGGGAUAGAGAAGGUUCUAACCCAGGAAAAGAGCACGAGCAGAGGAGACCGAAAGAAUGGCUACAAUUUGCAGUUACUUGUUUGUAGUUGUCUAAGAAGAGAAAUCAUUAAAUCAAAGGGUGCCUUCUUACAAGGACAAGGGUUUAUAGCACUGGGGACAAGAGCAAGGAUGUGGAAUCUGACAGACUAAGUUUAAAGUUCGAUUGUGUCACAUGCUCCUCAAGUGACCUUGAGAGAGUUACCUAGCCUUUAUCUGCAAAUGCAAGAUAGGAAGAACGGCUAUAGAAGAAUUGGGAAAGUCUCUCAUCUUGUAAUGGAGCUCAUUUAUUUACUUCUUCAAAAAUAUUCAUUAGGGAACCAAUUACCUGCCAUGUGCUGUGCUAGAUGUUGGGACAAUGAACAAGGCAAACAUGAGUGUUGCUCUCUUAGAGCUUGUAUUCUAACUGGGGAGGCAACACAAUAAACAAACAGUAAUCUACAACAAGUAAUCUUAGGAUAUGAGAGGGAUUUUGAAGAAAACAUAGGGUUGGGGCCAAGUAGAAUUAAUGGCUUUUACUGUGCCAAGGACAGUGUUUGUCAGGUAGGAGGCAAUCAAAACACAGGAGCUUUCAUUUUACAUUUAUUAAUAGCUCCGUCUUGAAAUUCAACAUGUAAGAGGAAGCCAAGGUAUCAGAUACUCUUUGCUGCCUACCAGGAGGGCAUUUCUCCUUUCACCUUGCUUACAGACCCCUCUUUAAUCCAAGAUUCAUCUUACCCCCACGGGCAAGGUGUUGGGGUUACAGGAAGCUCAGGAUGGAUGUCUACAUCUCCAAGGAACUAUCACUUUCUACCAAAAUGUGAGAAGAAACUCUGGAAUGCAAUGUCAUGAAUGGGAACUGUUGUGUAUUCACUGCUUUCCCCCCAGUGCCCAGGACAGUUCCCAGCACAGAAUAGGGGCUCAACAAAUGUCUGUGGAAUUAUUAAACAGGUCAGUUGAAAUAAACAUGGAUAUAUUUUAGAAUCACACAAGCAUGGCAUAAAAUUUUAAAAAUCCAAACAGAUGGCACUGUUCCUGCUGCAUUUGAAACAUGGGCUUCCUCAGACUCUGCUCUGAAAUUGCAAUGGAGGAGAAACCAGUGGUUUCAAGAAACAGAAAUGCAGGGGAAACUGGGCCAGCCUCAGCUCUACAAGGGUGGUCACCAGCUCUGGGCCUGACAAGGGCCACAGUACAAGACGGAGACGAAGUGCCGAGUUCCCAGAGGCUGUUGGUGGUGGCGAGGCCUGUACCAUGAACGGUGUCUUCUGGAAGGAGAAAAUAUUGUGAUGAACUCUCAGAGCCUAAAGAGUUAUUUUCUUCAGAGAGAUUUUAACAUAGAGUGAGUUCUAGUACCAAAGCAGUGUAUUCGCCUCUAUUUUCUUUCUUUGUUUAUUUUCUUUAUUUCUCAGAAUGUCGGGAAGAAGUUUGAAGACAGGCUGGCCCGAAUUCACAGCCCAGGAGAGGUCUGACUUAAAAAUAAAUCCUUGUGUAAAUUAAAAAAAGAAUCUAAGCAAGCCUAUCUAUAGUGUCAGGAUGUUACUGACUGUUAAUUGAUAAUAUAUAUGGCUUAAUAAGAAAACCAUAAACUGAGUUCUGUUUAAGUCUUUAAAUCUUUUUCUGCAUAUAUAGCAUUUUUUUUACUCACUUAUUACAAAGUAUCUCACAUAACUCACCUAGAUGUUUGGCCAGAGUGAAUUUUAUGUAACAUUGAUAUAUGUCAUCAUACUGAACUUGUGUAUUAGACAUGGAAAUAUACUGAAACAUGUAAUUUCUCAUGUUGCCAUUAAUACCCAUUAAGAGAGUUGUUAAGAAAAAAAAAAGAAAGAGAGUUGUUUAGUUAUUAUUUGACCAUUGUUCCGACUGAAGAACCGAAACACCAAACACCUGGAGGAGGGACUUGUCUAAGUUCACAAGGCUAAGUGCAGGCAACACCAAUGCCUGGGGCUGUGUUUCCUAAUUCUCAGACCUGCAGUUAAUGGGAACACUUUAUCACACUAAAGUAAAUCAAUUUUCAUUCUUCCAUUUAUCUCUGCGUGCAGUGAAUGACAGAGUGACUAUACCUAACAGGGGGUCAAUAUCGAGAUGCUGGAAACAAAGAGAUGAAAAAAAUGAUUCCGUUCUCAAGAAGCUACCAUUAAUAAUGGGAGAAUCGUAAAUGCCAAUGGAUGACCAGCAAUUUGAUUAUGCAUGACUGUUACAGCAGUUAAAUAUCGAGGGCAUGCAGAAGGCAUGUAGGUAACCAGCAGGAAAGUCAGGGAAGGCUUUGCCAAGGCAGAGACAUCUGAGAUUAUCCUUAAAAGAAAAAUAUGUUUACAAGGCAGUGAGUGGGGGUGUGUGUUGGGGAAGGACACUCAAAACGGAGGGCACAGGAAGGUCAUAAACAGAGAAGUGUUAAAGGGCAUGGGCUGUCCUGGGAACGGUGAUAUAAAUUCAGUGCCGUCGGGUCCUAAGAUGUGUAGGGUGCAUAAAUGGGAGACAAGGCACGGGAACUGGAUGCCAGAAAGCUUGUUGGUCAUUCUGAGAAGUUCAGACUCAGAGCAUGAGGUGAAGAGACUCAAGGGUGUGUUGCAAGUUGUGUGUGUGUGUGUGUGUGUGUGUGUGUGGGAAGGGGAGACAUAGAUUUUGCAGACAACCUUACCUGUCAAUGAGGGUGGGCGAUAUACUAGAGAGGCUGACACUCGUAGCUGGGAGAUCAUUUCCAAGGCCAUUGCAAGGAGGCAGGUGCAAGACCAGGAUCGAGUCUAAGCCAGUGACAGCCAUCAUGGUGAGAAGCGCCAGAUGGAAGAGGCACUGACAGAACUGAGUGUCUAUUAAAGGCAGGGGGUAAGAAAGAAUUGGCAACUGAGGAUAAUUUUAAGAUAUUUUUUCAGGGAAAGUGGAAAACUAGAGCCGGGAGAUACAAGAAAGAGAAGGAGCUUGAGGGAUGGAAGGUAAGAAAGGGAGCUACCUUUGUGGUGUUGGAAGGGAAUCGAGGUGGGGGCACAGCCGCUGAAGAUGGGAGGCUGUGAGCCGGGCAGGUAGGGCAGGACACAGAUUAGGAAUUGGGUCAAAUGCAGCUUGUGUAGUUGAAAACAUGGGACGGGGAGGGGACCAUCCAGAGGCAACAAGCAGAAGGAAAUAAGAAAAGAGAAAGAACCACACCUGGGAAAUGCCGACCUUCAUUAAAAAGAACUCAGCAAAGGAGACUGGGAAGAGAAAAGAGGCAAGAAAAAGCAGUAAUUUGGAAACAAAGGGAGGAGAACUUGUUUCUCUGCCUAAAAAACUUCCCGCUAGGAAGACAGCAGCAGGAUAAGAAUCACCCAGCAAGGAUUCUUUCGGCCAGUAGAUAAUCAGGACCGGGGACCACGGUGGUGUAAGCCCAAGGUGCUUGGUGGAACCAGGAGGUGUGCUGGUUCCAGCUGGACAUGGGAGACUGAGGUAGAUGGUGCGGCCCUCCGGAAAGGGUCUCAGGAAGCUGCUUCGCAACUUGGCCUCUCUCAUUUCCUAAAGCAGGUUGGGGGAGAGAAGAAAGAAGAAGGAAUGAUCACCAAGCCUCGCUCACUGGCUUUCUCGUACUCCUCCGUCUCCUUGAUGGCAUUUAUUUCACCAAUGCUAUGAGGUGGGUGGGGGAGAGGAAUGGUAUCUGGGGAACCCUUUCCUCUGUCCUCAUGUUUUCAGGCUUCUAUCCCAGACCCUUCCAGCCUCUCUCUUACAGAAGCUGCUUCCUUGUUUCAGUUGGUAGGAUGGCCAAGGGUCUGCACAGCCUUUGGCCCACUGUUUUUUCCCAGGUGACUUAAGACCAUAGAAUCCCUGAUUCUCUUCUUGUUUUGGAAGUGACUUGAUCUGUCUGAUGCCCAUUAUCCUUUUCUAUGUCGCCAAGAGUAACCUUUGGGGAAGGUAAAUGGUUAUGACUGUUUAGCUCUUUUGCCCUAAUUUGGUUUGGUUUUUGGAAAGGGUGAAAUAUUAGGAAUCUUGGGAAUUACUGGCUAUGAAUCCAGGCUGAAUUCCCAAAUCCUGACGUGCCAGUUAUUAAACUGACGUUGACCCCUCAAUUCCACUCGUGUCUGGUUUUAUUUUAUUCAGAUUCUCAUUUGGAGGAGAAGAAAAGCAUUAUUUACUGACCUGCUCAAAUCCCAACAUAUGCUCAUUUUAUAUGUGAGGAAAUUGAAUUCAUUCAGCUUGUAAAUGACAGAGCAGGGAUUAAACCAGAGUUUAAACGCGGAGAGUCGGCCCAGGCUCCUUGUAUUUCUAUUCUUCCAUGCUUCCUCCUCAGGUUGAAAUUAUAUUGACCAAAAGAAUAAAAAAGUAUCCCAGUCAGAUGACAUGAUUCCAGUUACAAUGAGUUAUGAAUUCACUUAAGCCAGCUUCUGAUGUCCUGCUUGCUCCCAGGCUAUCAGUUCAGGAAACACUCUCUAGCAUAUUCCCACGAGGUAUAUUCU
Long non-coding RNA from Herpailurus yagouaroundi (jaguarundi), 6017 nucleotides. RefSeq lists it as uncharacterized. NCBI's taxonomy places the organism in Eukaryota, Metazoa, Chordata, Mammalia, Carnivora, Felidae. The record is from RefSeq and is a predicted model, not a curated record. The transcript has 4 exons.